GAUGAACGCUGGCGGCGUGCCUAAUACAUGCAAGUCGAGCGAACAGACAAGGAGCUUUCUCCUCUGACGUUAGCGGCUGACGGGUGAGUAACACGUGGAUAACCUACCUAUAAGACUUGGAUAACUUCGGGAAACCGGAGCUAAUACCGGAUAAUAUAUUGAACCGCAUGGUUCAAUAGUGAAAGACGGUUUUGCUGUCACUUAUAGAUGAAUCCGCGCCGCAUUAGCUAGUUGGUAAGGUAACGGCUUACCAAGGCAACGAUGCGUAGCCGACCUGAGAGGGUGAUCGGCCACACUGGAACUGAGACACGGUCCAGACUCCUACGGGAGGCAGCAGUAGGGAAUCUUGCGCAAUGGGCGAAAGCCUGACGGAGCAACGCCGCGUGAGUGAUGAAGGUCUUCGGAUCGUAAAACUCUGUUAUUAGGGAAGAACAAAUGUGUAAGUAACUAUGCACGUUUUGACGGUACCUAAUCAGAAAGCCACGGCUAACUACGUG
This 497-nucleotide ribosomal RNA is filed under the name uncultured bacterium. RNAcentral describes it as "partial 16S ribosomal RNA". It matches the Rfam family "Bacterial small subunit ribosomal RNA", at positions 28 to 507 of the family's 1533-position model. The record is from RNAcentral.